GAUGAACGCUGGCGGCGUGCCUAAUACAUGCAAGUCGAGCGAACAGACGAGGAGCUUGCUCCUCUGACGUUAGCGGCGGACGGGUGAGUAACACGUGGAUAACCUACCUAUAAGACUGGGAUAACUUCGGGAAACCGGAGCUAAUACCGGAUAAUAUAUUGAACCGCAUGGUUCAAUAGUGAAAGACGGUUUUGCUGUCACUUAUAGAUGGUUCCGCGCCGCAUUAGCUAGUUGGUAAGGUAACGGCUUACCAAGGCAACGAUGCGUAGCCGACCUGAGAGGAUGAUCGGCCACACUGGAACUGAGACACGGUCCAGACUCCUACGGGAGGCAGCAGUAGGGAAUCUUCCGCAAUGGGCGAAAGCCUGACGGAGCAACGCCGCGUGAGUGAUGAAGGUCUUCGGAUCGUAAAACUCUGUUAUUAGGGAAGAACAAAUGUGUAAGUAACUAUGCACGUCUUGACGGUACCUAAUCAGAAAGCCACGGCUAACUACGUG
Molecule: ribosomal RNA, 497 nt
Filed under: uncultured bacterium
Lineage: Bacteria
Description: partial 16S ribosomal RNA
Rfam family: Bacterial small subunit ribosomal RNA
Source: RNAcentral